GACGAACGCUGGCGGCGUGCUUAACACAUGCAAGUCGAACGCUGAACCCGCUUCGGUGGGGGAUGAGUGGCGAACGGGUGCGUAACACGUGGGCAACCUGCCCCCGGCUCUGGGAUAACUCCAAGAAAUUGGGGCUAAUACCGGAUGUGACCGCUGGCCGCAUGGUCUGGUGGUGGAAAGGGUUUCCGGCUGGGGAUGGGUCCGCGGCCUAUCAGCUUGUUGGUGGGGUAGUGGCCUACCAAGGCGACGACGGGUAGCCGGCCUGAGAGGGUGACCGGCCACACUGGGACUGAGACACGGCCCAGACUCCUACGGGAGGCAGCGGUGGGGAAUAUUGCGCAAUGGGCGGAAGCCUGACGCAGCGACGCCGCGUGGGGGAUGACGGCCUUCGGGUUGUAAACCUCUUUCAGCAGGGACGAAGCGCAAGUGACGGUACCUGCAGAAGAAGCACCGGCCAACUACGUG
RNAcentral lists this ribosomal RNA (465 nucleotides) under uncultured bacterium. Its description in RNAcentral is "partial 16S ribosomal RNA". It matches the Rfam family "Bacterial small subunit ribosomal RNA", at positions 28 to 507 of the family's 1533-position model. The record is from RNAcentral.